Vulpes vulpes (red fox) is the source of this 1557-nucleotide long non-coding RNA. The record is from Ensembl. Lineage: Eukaryota; Metazoa; Chordata; Mammalia; Carnivora; Canidae.
AACCCCUUCACCAAUCUUUCACGGACUGAUUUAAUUGGGUAGUUAGUUCUGGUCUCAAUAUCUUUAACUCUCAAGAGCUCUUUCCUGUUACCUCAUUGUUCUUAGAAGAAGAAGAAGAAGAAGAAGAAGAAGAAGAAGAAGAGGAGCAGCCCAUUCUUCCUUCUUGCAUGCAUAUCUUCUCUUAUCACAGAUUUUUAUAAGGAUUUUUUUUCUCUUGUUUUCUUCUAUUCCCCAUGUUGCUUUCUUCUCCUCAGAAUUUGGUUUCCCUGAUAGCUCAGGCACUGCCUUCAUGAUUUCUCCAAAUAUCUGGUGAUCCUUGGUGACCCUUGAGAAUGAGACACAAACACCCGACUGGGAAUUCCAUGCACUAAGGCUCAUGAGCCAUUGAAAUCCACUGGUCUGUAGGAGAGGGCCCUGAUAGGUGUUAGAGGAUUCCCAAAUGUCAGCAUCAAUGGGUCUUUUCUCUGGAAGUGGUCUUCUCCAGAGAACACCCUCCCUCACACCACCCACCUAGAGGACCCUUGCUGGGCUGGUGCAGUGAAGGGGCAGAGAGGGGUAACAGUGGAGGAACUCAGAAGGUACUUUUAAGUGGUAUCUUUUUACCUAGUGCUUCUCCUUUCCUUUACCCUCACCUGAGUCUCCUGUUCCUCCCUCUAGAUCUUUCCUCACUGCAUUUCUCCAGGAUGUAAACCUUCCUCCCAGGUUGGGGUAUAUGCCAUCAUUUGGUUGCACAGAAUGGAGAAGAAAAUCAGGGGGUCCAGGUGCUCCUGAACAGACUUCCACCCAGUCUUCGUUCUUACAGCUGCAGUCCUGAGACAUGCCGCUGAAGACUCUGAUAUUCCCAGCUCCUGAAGACUUCCAGGCAUUACUUCGGUGUUUAUUAAGCACCUAUUAUAUGACGGAUCUUGUGCCAAGCCCUCAGGAUGCAAGAGAUAAAGAUUUGAGGAAUGCAUUGUGUGACAUGGGUGACAAAGAAAUUAGAGUAAUCCGUGAGCUGAGUGGUUUGUACAGCCAGCUGGGAGAGAGCAGAUUAAUCCCGUCUUCCUAGACGCUCAGGAUGGCACCUGACCCAGGCCUUGAAAAUGUGCACAGGAUUUUGCCAAGGCAGAGAAGCCAGGUGAGGACAUUUCAAGCAGAGGGACUUCGAACCAAGGCUCGGAAGCUGGAAGUCUAUAAUCUGUCAGUGGCAGGAGCUAGGGCAAGAGGAACUGGGACCAGAUCAAGGGGCCCACAGGAAUGACAUGAAGGGGUUGACUUUGGCGGGAGCACAGAGAAGCCCCUUAUAAGCAGUAUGUGUGUGUGUGGGGGGGUGUGACAUGGUUAGACUUGCACUUCAGAAUAGCUGCCUACCAUAUAAAGAAUGGGCUGGCCUGGGGCCGGAGGUGGAGAGCAGGAUAAGAAUAGAGGCAACAGUGUCAGUCAAGAGGGAUGGGAAUAAUUCAGAAGACAGAUAAGGCUCAAAUUAGGGAACCAGCAGUGGGGAAAAAGAGGUUUCAAUUUGGUAGAAAUUUAGUUUCUUGAAAUAAAGAAGGAGGAGUUGACUUGGUUUCUUGCUCA